This 548-nucleotide ribosomal RNA is filed under the name Gyalolechia marmorata. RNAcentral's name for it is "eukaryotic LSU rRNA". The stretch from base 216 to 369 matches the Rfam family "5.8S ribosomal RNA". Lineage: Eukaryota; Fungi; Ascomycota; Lecanoromycetes; Teloschistales; Teloschistaceae. The record is from RNAcentral.
CUGCGGAGAUCAUUACUGAGAGAGGGACCUCGUGUCCCCCGGGGGGUUUCGGCCCUCCACCUCUUCAACCCGUGCUUAUAGACCUCUGUUGCUUUGGCGAGCGCCGGGGCGCCUCCCGCCUCGGCCCCGACCCCAAGGCCGGUGCGUUCUCGCCAGAGCCCCCUAAGCAUUCUGUUUAUUCAGUGACGUCCGAGUAUGACCAAAAUAUAAAUCAAAACUUUCAACAACGGAUCUCUUGGUUCUGGCAUCGAUGAAGAACGCAGCGAAAUGCGAUAAGUAAUGUGAAUUGCAGAAUUCAGUGAAUCAUCGAAUCUUUGAACGCACAUUGCGCCCCUUGGUAUUCCGAGGGGCAUGCCUGUUCGAGCGUCAUUGCAACCCUCAAGCUUUGCUUGGUAUUGAGCUUUUCGCCGGAGACGGCGUGCUCGAAAAUUAGUGGCGGUCCAGGGAGACUUCAAGCGCAGUAAAAGUUCCGUUUUCGAGGUUCUCGCCUACGACCGGCCGUAAAACCCCCAAAUUUUUCAAUGAUUGACCUCGGAUCAGGUAGGGAU